UUCUCACCGCCUCCCCUUCUCUUUCUUAUUCUCAGUUCUCUCAACUGAAAAAUGCUAGCAGCAAUUCUGAAAGAAAGUCAUAUCUUCUUCGGAGUUCAGACCAAAAUCUUCUUCAUAUUAAGUUGAACUGUUGAAGAUUCGAACUGCUGCACUAAGUAGAAGCACUUGUUCAUUUGCUGUUUACUUCAGAUCUGAAAGAGUGAAAGGUCCAAUUAGGGAUUCAGUAAGGGCUACGAUUAUGUUAAUGUCUAAACUUUCAAGAGUUGGGCUUUUGUUGUUUAAAGAGCUCUCUAGAGGGAAAUCCAGAGCCAUAACUGGAGCAGGAUAUACACAGACGCCUUUUAGCCAAUACUUGCAAACGCUG
Molecule: long non-coding RNA, 364 nt
Organism: Morus notabilis
Lineage: Eukaryota; Viridiplantae; Streptophyta; Magnoliopsida; Rosales; Moraceae
Exons: 4
Source: RefSeq, a predicted model, not a curated record